Molecule: ribosomal RNA, 240 nt
Filed under: uncultured bacterium
Lineage: Bacteria
Description: partial 16S ribosomal RNA
Rfam family: Bacterial small subunit ribosomal RNA
Source: RNAcentral
CACGCCGUAAACGAUGUCAACUAGAUGUUGGGAGGGUCUACCUCUUAGUGUCGCAGCUAACGCGUUAAGUUGACCGCCUGGGGAGUACGGCCGCAAGGUUAAACUCAAAGGAAUUGACGGGGGCCCGCACAAGCGGUGGAGCAUGUGGUUUAAUUCGAUGCAACGCGAAGAACCUUACCUACCCUUGACAUUGACAGAAUCCUGUAGAGAUACGGGAGUGCCUUCGGGCCUGGAAAACAG